AGCGAACGCUGGCGGCAGGCCUAAAACAUGCAAGUCGAACGCCCGUAGCAAUACGGGAGUGGCAGACGGGUGAGUAACACGUGGGAACGUGCCCUUUGGUUCGGAACAACACAGGGAAACUUGUGCUAAUACCGGAUAAGCCCUUACGGGGAAAGAUUUAUCGCCAGAGGAUCGGCCCGCGUCUGAUUAGCUAGUUGGUGAGGUAACGGCUCACCAAGGCUACGAUCAGUAGCUGGCUGAGAGGAUGAUCAGCCACACUGGGACUGAGACACGGCCCAGACUCCUACGGGAGGCAGCAGUUAGGAAUCUUGGACAAUGGGCGCAAGCCUGAUCCAGCCAUGCCGCGUGAGUGAUGAAGGCCUUAGGGUUGUAAAGCUCUUUCAGGCGGGGAAGAUAAUGACGGUACCCGCAGAAGAACGCCCCGGCUAACUACGUGCCAGCCGCCGCCGUAA
This 452-nucleotide ribosomal RNA is filed under the name uncultured bacterium. RNAcentral's name for it is "bacterial SSU rRNA". It matches the Rfam family "Bacterial small subunit ribosomal RNA", at positions 29 to 523 of the family's 1533-position model. The record is from RNAcentral.